This 460-nucleotide ribosomal RNA is filed under the name uncultured bacterium. RNAcentral describes it as "partial 16S ribosomal RNA". It matches the Rfam family "Bacterial small subunit ribosomal RNA", at positions 338 to 795 of the family's 1533-position model. The record is from RNAcentral.
CCUACGGGAGGCAGCAGUGAGGAAUAUUGGUCAAUGGACGCAAGUCUGAACCAGCCAUGCCGCGUGCAGGAAGACGGCUCUAUGAGUUGUAAACUGCUUUUGUACGAGGGUAAACGCAGAUACGUGUAUCUGUCUGAAAGUAUCGUACGAAUAAGGAUCGGCUAACUCCGUCCCAGCAGCCGCGGUAAUACGGAGGAUUCAAGCGUUAUCCGGAUUUAGUGGGUUUAAAGGGUGCGUAGGCGGUCGGAUAAGUUAGAGGUGAAAUCCCGGGGCUCAACUUCGGAAUUGCAUCUGAUACUGUUCGGCUAGAGAGUAGUUGCGGUAGGCGGAAUGUAUGGUGUAGCGGUGAAAUGCUUAGAGAUCAUACAGAACACCGAUUGCGAAGGCAGCUUACCAAGCUACUUCUGACGUUGAGGCACGAAAGCGUGGGGAGCAAACAGGAUUAGAUACCCUUGUAGUC